RNAcentral lists this ribosomal RNA (247 nucleotides) under uncultured bacterium. RNAcentral's name for it is "partial 16S ribosomal RNA". It matches the Rfam family "Bacterial small subunit ribosomal RNA", at positions 86 to 334 of the family's 1533-position model. The record is from RNAcentral.
AGAUGGCGACCGGCGCACGGGUGAGUAACACGUAUCCAACCUGCCGAUAACUCGGGGAUAGCCUUUCGAAAGAAAGAUUAAUACCCGAUGGUAUAAUCAGACCGCAUGGUCUUGUUAUUAAAGAAUUUCGGUUAUCGAUGGGGAUGCGUUCCAUUAGGCAGUUGGUGGGGUAACGGCUCACCAAACCUUCGAUGGAUAGGGGUUCUGAGAGGAAGGUCCCCCACAUUGGAACUGAGACACGGUCCAA